RNAcentral lists this long non-coding RNA (783 nucleotides) under Pan paniscus (pygmy chimpanzee). Its description in RNAcentral is "lncRNA (ENSPPAG00000045044.1)". Lineage: Eukaryota; Metazoa; Chordata; Mammalia; Primates; Hominidae. The record is from RNAcentral.
UUGUUGAGGAAAGUNNNNNNNNNNNNNNNNNNNNAUNUAUUUUUUUUUUUUUUUUUGAGACGGAAUCUCGCUCUGUCCCCCAGGCUGGAGUGCAAUCUCGGCUCACUGCAAGCUCCGCCUCCCAGGUUCACGCCAUUCUCCUGCCUCAGCCUCCCGAGUAGCUGGGAUUACAGGUGCCUGCCACCACGCCUGGCUAAUUUUUUGUAUUUUUAGUAGAGACGGUGUUUCAUCGUGUUAGCCAGGAUGACCUCGAUUUCCCGACCUCGUGAUCCGCCCGCCUCGGCCUCCCAAAGUGUUGGGAUUACAGGCGUGAGCCACCGCGCCCGGCCAUAAAUGAUUCUUAUACAUUCAGAAAGAUGACUCUUUCUCAGUGGACGAAACAUUCUGUGUGAUGCACACCAGCACAACAACAGAAAGUACUGAACAACUUUGAGGAUACAGGGAUGAGCACCAGAAAGAUGGGGCAGGUUCAGCUUCAUAAUCUUGGCAAGGAGUCAUCAGCAGCAAGAUUUAGGUGUUGGCUAAAAGAGAAAAACAGGAAUUCCAGUUAUCCUGUCUGGAUUAGCGCUCCUGAUGAGCUCAAGCUGAGCCAACUGGGGACUGAAAAAAUUCAGAGAGAGAGAACCAUGAAAGUCAAGGGCAUUGUAAGGAUGAAUUUAGAACCUCCAAUGACAGCAGGCCCUCAUUUGGAUGCUUGGAUUCUAAAAUGUUUGCUAAAAGGUAAGUCAGAGCAUUUGGUCAUAUGUCAUCUAAACUACACUUUCACCUGUACCUAAGAUGUAU